Molecule: unclassified non-coding RNA, 374 nt
Filed under: soil metagenome
Description: partial contains 5.8S ribosomal RNA, internal transcribed spacer 2, and large subunit ribosomal RNA
Rfam family: 5.8S ribosomal RNA (bases 1-120)
Source: RNAcentral
GAUGAAGAACGUAGCGAAAUGCGAUAAGUAACGUGAAUUGCAGAAUUCAGUGAAUCAUCGAAUCUUUGAACGCACAUUGCGCCCGCCAGUAUUCUGGCGGGCAUGCCUGUUCGAGCGUCAUUACAACCCUCAAGCCCCCCGGCUUGGUGUUGGGGACCGGCCACCGGUGCCCUGCUGCUUCCGCGGCAGGCGCGCCCGGCCGCCCCCGAAAUGAAUUGGCGGCCCCGUCGCGGCCUCCCUCUGCGUAGUAGCACACAUCUCGCAGCUGGAGCGCGGCGCGGCCACUGCCGUAAAACGCACCAACUUUUUUUUACAGUUGACCUCGAAUCAGGUAGGAAUACCCGCUGAACUUAAGCAUAUCAAUAAGCGGAGGA